This 254-nucleotide ribosomal RNA is filed under the name uncultured bacterium. RNAcentral's name for it is "partial 16S ribosomal RNA". It matches the Rfam family "Bacterial small subunit ribosomal RNA", at positions 524 to 776 of the family's 1533-position model. The record is from RNAcentral.
UACGAAGGGGGGCUAGCGUUGCUCGGAAUCACUGGGCGUAAAGGGUGCGUAGGCGGGUCUUUAAGUCAGGGGUGAAAUCCUGGAGCUCAACUCCAGAACUGCCUUUGAUACUGAAGAUCUUGAGUUCGGGAGAGGUGAGUGGAACUGCGAGUGUAGAGGUGAAAUUCGUAGAUAUUCGCAAGAACACCAGUUGCGAAGGCGGCUGGCUGGACCCAUAUUGACGCUGAGGUGCGAAAGCGUGGGGAGCAAACAGG